Lycium barbarum (goji berry) is the source of this 924-nucleotide long non-coding RNA. RefSeq lists it as uncharacterized. NCBI's taxonomy places the organism in Eukaryota, Viridiplantae, Streptophyta, Magnoliopsida, Solanales, Solanaceae. The record is from RefSeq and is a predicted model, not a curated record. The transcript is spliced from 3 exons.
GCGAAAACCCUAACCACCCUCCACUCCCUUCUCUCUCUUCGGGCAAUGCUCCUCAGGCUUUACAUGGCUUGCAUGGCCGUUUUGGGCAAAGGGCAAUUAAUCCAUUUGUCCUCUUCAUCGCGGUUCAGCCUAGAAAGGUGAGGCUUUCCCUCUCUACUCUUUUCUGCGAAAUCCUUAAUGAUUUUUGUCCUGUUGAUAUUCAAACCCUCAAUUUCUGUUGGUUCUUCAAGUAUUGGAGAGGAUUCAAGAAGAAUUAUCUCUCAAAUCUGAGUCCUACAUCUAUUUUCAAGAGGAAAAUCCUAGGAUUUGGGGUUCUAUAUAAAGAACCUCAUUUCCACCGAUUUGAAUAAAACUACAAGUCUUCAUAGAAGCAUCAGAUCUAAUUUCCAAUUUAACUAGGGAUUUGGCUUUAGUCGAAACCUUUACCUAAUUGAAUUUGGUCUUUUUAAUUCUAAACCUUGUUUUUUGUUGUGGCUGAGUAUUCGUGGUGUCGAGGAGCUCAAAAAGGAUUCCCGACUUCAAAUCUCGAUUAGUCUGCAUUGAAAAAAGUAGAAACGCGAGCAUCGAAGGAGAACAAUCAAGAGAUAGAAUUAUUAAAAGAAAGAGGUAGACAGGGAGGUGAUCCAGACUCGUAGGAGCUAUUAGCUGACUUGAGAGCACUCCAUUGUUUCAGAGGUGCCAUUGAUUUAUUCUUUUGUGUAUAUAUAUGUAUUUUGGGCAUGGCGGGGUCCUGUCCCAUCCCUAUGUCUAGCACUCUAGUAGAGGCUCGUAGAUAUGUAUGUGUGGGUAGUAUGGUCUCACGAUGACCUUAUUGUAUGUACAUUAUUUUGAUAGCCGAAGGGCUUAUGUAUAUAAGGUAAAUAUGUUUCAAGUGUAAAUGGGUUUCCUAUGAUUUGAGUAUAAGGUUAAUGAAUGGGCGCUUGA